GAUCAUGGCUCACCCCCCCCCGGAUGAACGCUAGCUACAGGCUUAACACAUGCAAGUCGAGGGGAAACGAUAUUGGAAGCUUGCUUCCGAUAGGCGUCGACCGGCGCACGGGUGAGUAACGCGUAUCCAACCUGCCCAUCACUUGGGAAUAACCUUGCGAAAGUAAGACUAAUGCCCAAUGACAUUUAUAGAAGGCAUCGGAAAUGAAUUAAAGAUUUAUCGGUGAUGGAUGGGGAUGCGU
Molecule: ribosomal RNA, 241 nt
Filed under: uncultured bacterium
Lineage: Bacteria
Description: partial 16S ribosomal RNA
Rfam family: Bacterial small subunit ribosomal RNA
Source: RNAcentral